UAAGGCAUCUUAUUAAUAUUUAAAGCUUCGCACUUGAUGAUGGGUGUGCGGCUGAUUAGAUAGUUGGCGGGGUAACGGCCCACCAAGUCUACGAUCAGUAGCUGAUGUGAGAGCAUGAUCAGCCACACGGGGCACUUGAGACUACGGGCCCGACUCCUUACGGGAGGCAGCAGUAAGGAAUAUUUGGACAAUGGACGAAAGUCUGAUCCAGCCAUGCCGCGUGAAGGUAUUAAGGUCCUUCUGGAUUGUAAACUUCUUUUAUAUGGGACGAAAAAAGGGCAUUCUUGUUCACUUGACGGUACCAUAUGAAUAAGCACCGGCUAACUCCGUG
Molecule: ribosomal RNA, 331 nt
Filed under: uncultured bacterium
Lineage: Bacteria
Description: bacterial SSU rRNA
Rfam family: Bacterial small subunit ribosomal RNA
Source: RNAcentral